This 491-nucleotide ribosomal RNA is filed under the name uncultured bacterium. Its description in RNAcentral is "bacterial SSU rRNA". It matches the Rfam family "Bacterial small subunit ribosomal RNA", at positions 29 to 513 of the family's 1533-position model. The record is from RNAcentral.
AUUGAACGCUGGCGGCAUGCCUAACACAUGCAAGUCGAACGGCAGCACAGCAGUAGCAAUACUGUGGGUGGCGAGUGGCGGACGGGUGAGGAAUACGUCGGAAUCUGCCCAGUCGUGGGGGAUAACUAGCCGAAAGGUUAGCUAAUACCGCAUACGACCGAGAGGUGAAAGCGGGGGACCGCAAGGCCUCGCGCGAUUGGAUGAGCCGACGUCGGAUUAGCUAGUUGGCGGGGUAAAGGCCCACCAAGGCGACGAUCCGUAGCUGGUCUGAGAGGAUGAUCAGCCACACUGGAACUGAGACACGGUCCAGACUCCUACGGGAGGCAGCAGUGGGGAAUAUUGGACAAUGGGCGCAAGCCUGAUCCAGCCACGCCGCGUGAGUGAUGAAGGCCUUCGGGUCGUAAAGCUCUGUGGGGAGGGACGAACGGCGCCGAUGAAGAGUGGCGAUUGACGGUACUCCUUAGCAAGCACCGGCUAACUACGUGCCAGCA